CCUACGGGUGGCAGCAGUGAGGAAUAUUGGUCAAUGGGCGCGAGCCUGAACCAGCCAAGUCGCGUGAGGGAUGAAGGUUCUAUGGAUCGUAAACCUCUUUUAUAAGGGAAUAAAGUGUGGGACGUGUCCUAUUUUGUAUGUACCUUAUGAAUACGGAUCGGCUAACUCCGUGCCAGCAGCCGCGGUAAUACGGAGGAUCCGAGCGUUAUCCGGAUUUAUUGGGUUUAAAGGGAGCGUAGGUGGUCUUUUAAGUCAGCGGUGAAAGUUUGGGGCUCAACCAUAGAAUUGCAGUUGAUACUGGGGGCCUUGAGUACGUUUGAGGCAGGCGGAAUGCGUGGUGUAGCGGUGAAAUGCUUAGAUAUCACGCAGAACCCCGAUUGCGAAGGCAGCCUGCCAAGCCAUGACUGACGCUGAUGCACGAAAGCGUGGGGAUCAAACAGGAUUAGAUACCCUAGUAGUC
Molecule: ribosomal RNA, 460 nt
Filed under: uncultured bacterium
Lineage: Bacteria
Description: partial 16S ribosomal RNA
Rfam family: Bacterial small subunit ribosomal RNA
Source: RNAcentral